RNAcentral lists this ribosomal RNA (805 nucleotides) under Psychrobacter maritimus. RNAcentral describes it as "bacterial SSU rRNA". It matches the Rfam family "Bacterial small subunit ribosomal RNA", at positions 450 to 1253 of the family's 1533-position model. The record is from RNAcentral. Lineage: Bacteria; Pseudomonadati; Pseudomonadota; Gammaproteobacteria; Moraxellales; Moraxellaceae.
AUGGUUAAUACCCAUGGACGAUGACAUUAGCUGCAGAAUAAGCACCGGCUAACUCUGUGCCAGCAGCCGCGGUAAUACAGAGGGUGCAAGCGUUAAUCGGAAUUACUGGGCGUAAAGCGAGCGUAGGUGGCUUGAUAAGUCAGAUGUGAAAUCCCCGGGCUUAACCUGGGAACUGCAUCUGAUACUGUUAGGCUAGAAUAGGUGAGAGGAAGGUAGAAUUCCAGGUGUAGCGGUGAAAUGCGUAGAGAUCUGGAGGAAUACCGAUGGCGAAGGCAGCCUUCUGGCAUCAUAUUGACACUGAGGUUCGAAAGCGUGGGUAGCAAACAGGAUUAGAUACCCUGGUAGUCCACGCCGUAAACGAUGUCUACUAGUCGUUGGGUCCCUUGAGGACUUAGUGACGCAGCUAACGCAAUAAGUAGACCGCCUGGGGAGUACGGCCGCAAGGUUAAAACUCAAAUGAAUUGACGGGGGCCCGCACAAGCGGUGGAGCAUGUGGUUUAAUUCGAUGCAACGCGAAGAACCUUACCUGGUCUUGACAUAUCUAGAAUCCUGCAGAGAUGCGGGAGUGCCUUCGGGAAUUAGAAUACAGGUGCUGCAUGGCUGUCGUCAGCUCGUGUCGUGAGAUGUUGGGUUAAGUCCCGCAACGAGCGCAACCCUUGUCCUUAGUUACCAGCGGGUUAAGCCGGGAACUCUAAGGAUACUGCCAGUGACAAACUGGAGGAAGGCGGGGACGACGUCAAGUCAUCAUGGCCCUUACGACCAGGGCUACACACGUGCUACAAUGGUAGGUACAGAGGGCAGCUAC